Molecule: long non-coding RNA, 706 nt
Filed under: Citrus sinensis (sweet orange)
Lineage: Eukaryota; Viridiplantae; Streptophyta; Magnoliopsida; Sapindales; Rutaceae
Description: long non-coding RNA (CSIN_LNC004785)
Source: RNAcentral
AGCCCUCAAAUGUCCAACACUCCAACUCUUAAUGCACAAAACCAACAAUGCAAGCUCAAACCAAAAAAGUCUCCUUGUGCCAGAAAAACAAAGAACAAAAAGAGGCAAAUAAUUCAGAAAAACAAAAAGCUUAUAAUUAGUCAAGUGCUCUCAUAUACAAAGAAAACCAUGUCUGAGGGAAAAUCACAUUGUGCCGAAGCAAUACAAGCUCAAAGCAUAACAGCACGAAAAUUGCGAAGAGGGAAAAUCAAAGUGUAAUAGAGCAUAAAUUGUAAAGAGAAAAGCCGAGACUCACAAAUAUUCACAGCGGCAGCUGAAGUAUAUGAUGAUAAACACAGAACACAGCCGUGACUGAGGUGGAUUUCAACCCUUUUUGCUAGCCGCGACAGAGUGAGAGAUGAGACGAGUGAUGCUGAUGAGUGAUGAAAUGAACAAAGCCUCACCAUGAAGGUGAUGACAGGCCACGCCGCGAAGGAUCUGAUCUGAUUUGAAGAAGAGAUUAUAGGAGAGUUGAAGAGAGAGUGAGAGAGAUUAAGUGAGGACUCAGGAAUGAGUCACGGCUCACGGGUGAGAGAGAUUGAGAGAGGAAUGGAUUACGGAUGAGACUUGAGAGAUUGAGAGGAGAAAUUGCAGAUUUAUAAUAGAGUUCAGUAUAGUUGAAGAAGAAAUUUCGAGAGAGGAAGAACGACGAACGAGAGAGAUCUAG